RNAcentral lists this small RNA (125 nucleotides) under Marmota monax (woodchuck). Lineage: Eukaryota; Metazoa; Chordata; Mammalia; Rodentia; Sciuridae. The record is from RNAcentral.
GCUGGACAUGGUGGUGCAUGCCUGUAAUCCCAGCAGCUUGGGAGGCUGAGACAGGAGAAUCACAAGUUCAAAGCCAGCCUUAGCAAUGGCAAGGUGCUAAGCAACUCAGUGACGCCCUGUCUCCA